GGGGGCAUAGCUCAGUUGGUAGAGCACCUGCUUUGCAAGCAGGGGGUCAUCGGUUCGAUCCCGUU
This 65-nucleotide transfer RNA is filed under the name Neisseria meningitidis 2001073. RNAcentral's name for it is "partial tRNA-Ala". It matches the Rfam family "tRNA", at positions 1 to 63 of the family's 71-position model. Rfam says of the family: Transfer RNA (tRNA) molecules are approximately 80 nucleotides in length. Their secondary structure includes four short double-helical elements and three loops (D, anti-codon, and T loops). The record is from RNAcentral. Lineage: Bacteria; Pseudomonadati; Pseudomonadota; Betaproteobacteria; Neisseriales; Neisseriaceae.